UUCCAGACUCCUACGGGAGGCAGCAGUGGGGAAUAUUGCACAAUGGGGGAAACCCUGAUGCAGCGACGCCGCGUGAGUGAAGAAGUAUUUCGGUAUGUAAAGCUCUAUCAGCAGGGAAGAAGAUGACGGUACCUGACUAAGAAGCCCCGGCUAACUACGUGCCAGCAGCCGCGGUAAUACGUAGGGGGCAAGCGUUAUCCGGAUUUACUGGGUGUAAAGGGAGCGUGGACGGCGGCGCAAGCCAGAUGUGAAAGCCCGGGGCUCAACUCCGGGACUGCAUUUGGAACUGUGUGGCUGGAGUGUCGGAGAGGCAGGCGGAAUUCCUAGUGUAGCGGUGAAAUGCGUAGAUAUUAGGAGGAACACCAGUGGCGAAGGCGGCCUGCUGGACGAUGACUGACGUUGAGGCUCGAAAGCGUGGGGAGCAAACAGGAUUAGAUACCCCCGUA
Molecule: ribosomal RNA, 446 nt
Filed under: uncultured bacterium
Lineage: Bacteria
Description: bacterial SSU rRNA
Rfam family: Bacterial small subunit ribosomal RNA
Source: RNAcentral